GCUAAUUUUUUUAUUUUUAGUAGAGAUGGGGUUUUGCCGUGUUGGCCAGGCUAGUCUUGAAUUCCUGGGCUCAAAGCAUCCACCCUUUUUGGCCUUUUUAAAUGCUGGGAUUACAGUUGUGAGCCAUGCCUGGCUGGAUAAUUCUUAUAACUAUUAAUCAUUUAUAUGCAGAAGUGGAAGGUCUCCCCUUAAGUGUUUCUGAGCUCACUUGUAGAUGGAAGCCUGUGAAUAUUCUAGUUUUGAGAGUUGCUCUCACAUUGGCUUCCUGAGUUUUCUACUCAGAAUGGAUGAGUAUUUGAUGGCAAUUUUUGGGGUCUCUGGCGUACAGCACCAUAAAAACUCCCAUUUUCUUUGCCCUGCUGCUCUCACAGAGGUACUGUCUCUGAAGACUUUGGUCCUACUCCAUGUUCUAGGAUCUGUGGGUUUCUUUUGCUGUCCUAGUUAGUUGGUUUUUGCAAAAGGAUUAAGAACCACGUGGCUGCUAGCAUCUCUGGCUCUAACCAGAACUCUAUGCCUUUUAUAUUUCCCUUUUAUUUCAUUUGGGCGUGGCAACCACCUUGUAAGUUUUACAUAUAGUAUUUCUAUUUGACUAGCCUAUUUUGUGGUAACAAAUUUUGGGGUCUCCUCUUACCCCAGGAAUAGGUUAUGUGUUGGCACUCUAAGCAGAAACAACUGUCGUGGUGGCAACUGUAUUUAACCCCGGAUUAUCUUAACCGAUCCUUGGUGGUGUAUUACAAAUAGAGCACAUGGCCAGGAACUCAUUAACCUACCACCAACCCAGAGUGACACGGGACUAGUUCCUUCUCAGUAUUUACUUGGCGACAGCAGCUGGCACCAUAGGAAGCCCAGACCCAGGCUCAAGGAGUGCAGGGCAUAUCAGGAGGCAGACGCAGAUGUGGCUAACAAUUCAGUGUGGAACUCUACACUAAGUGCACGUGAAGGAAGGAAGCAGCUGUUUUUAUGUUGGUCUCAGAAGGCUUGGGUUUUGUGGAGUGACUUGGGAAGAUGACUGGGCUGGGCCAUGGCCUCUCUGUCCUCUCCUUUAACCAAAGCAGUUUCACUUUUUUCCAUGUUACAUAGUAUGAUCAAAGAUUUAUUUUUUAAAAAAAGGUUUUGCUGUUGAAAAAGGAGGGAAGGACAAAUAGGUAGACUGGGGGUCCUGAGGUGAGGGGUCUGAUGUUUUAUCUGGGUCUGUUUAUACAAGUGUUUGGUAUGAGAAGCAUCCUUGGAUUAUAGCUGAGGAGCCCCCCAACUCACACCCUGAUGCUGCAGUGGGGAGUAACUCCUGAGAUGGGCCAGGCCCAGACGCUGGCUUUACUGCUUGGCAGUGCACAGUCCUGGACAGGGCUUCUGCCUUCUGAGCGCUUCCUCAUCAGUGAACUGGGGAUACCCAUGCAGGGUUCUUGUGUUGCUUGAAUUAGUGAAUGUGUGAAAGAUCCAGUGUAGUCUCUGGCUCAUAGCAGGCUCAGUGAGUGAUGGCUAUAGUGAUUGUCAGGGUCACAGGGCCUCUGCUGAGAGGUGGUACCUGGUUUAGGAUUAGUUAGGUCUCCCCUCAUGGGGGCCUCCUUUCCCUGACAGGGUCAGUAAACUGAAUGAAUUAUGCCCACUUUCCAGGCCAGCCUCUUACCUAUUGGUGUUCGGUACACAUCACCUUGCAUCUGCAUGGCAUUGUGUGGGUCACCUGAUGCGCUAGCUCAUUUGAGUCUUGCAGCCAUUCUGUAGAGCAGACUGUAUUAGUCCCAUUGCACGGAAGAGGAUAUGUAUGGAGAGGGUAAGUAGCAGAUCCAAGGCUACAAUCCUUGUCACCAAAGGUUGAGGAGUCCAGUGCUCUGUAUGGUGCUUUCGGUAUAAACUGAAUCAGAGAGAUACACAGUGACAAGGCACCUUUGUGGGUAGGGUGGAGCCAGGCCAUCGCAGCCAUGGCUUUUGUGAACGUUGACCUAUGAGUCAAACUGAGCUGGUGGGGUGAGGUGAGGGGUGUUUAGGAUAACGCAGCAGGAAUUAUAAGCAAUAUGACUUUAUUUAGUUACUUUGGAAACAAAACCCCCCAAAUGAUGCCUGAACCCAAAGGUACAUAAAAAUGACC
This is a long non-coding RNA of Sapajus apella (tufted capuchin), 2086 nucleotides long. RefSeq lists it as uncharacterized. The record is from RefSeq and is a predicted model, not a curated record. The transcript is spliced from 2 exons. Lineage: Eukaryota; Metazoa; Chordata; Mammalia; Primates; Cebidae.